Molecule: unclassified non-coding RNA, 2693 nt
Filed under: Anthonomus grandis grandis
Lineage: Eukaryota; Metazoa; Arthropoda; Insecta; Coleoptera; Curculionidae
Description: leucine-rich repeat and guanylate kinase domain- containing protein-like
Source: RNAcentral
UUGAAAUCUGUCAUUAGACAGUUCAAAGUCAAAAAAUGAAUAAAGGCACAAGCGAAACCUACUGCUCCCGAGGCCGCAGCACCACCUCGGGGUACAAUUUGGCCACCAAAGGGUCAUCCACCAUCUCUGGUUAUAACAUUAACGCACCAGGAAAUCCUUCCCUUAUCAAUUACAUCCCUUCCUCUCUGGGUGGUAGCUUUAGGGCGGGCCCUUACGACGAUUGCUCAGAUGACGAUCUUGAGGAGAUUGAAAAAAGUUCCCAAACGGAGGUGGAAAAAAGCGUGAAAUUCGAAGACGAGACUUUGCACCAUUUGUGGCGAAACGUCCGGGAUUUGGCCGGACCGUGGAUCAGUCAUCGGUUCAGUUUGGGAGAGUGGGAGAGUCUGGAUCAGAGUCCUGAUAAGUCAAAUGCGGAAAAGGAAAGAGAGGAAAUUGAGAGGGACGAAGCGCCCUAUGACGGGGUGCUUACCAAGGAGGUGUUGGCCCCCAAUUUAUCCAGAGUGGGUCGGUGUCCCGAGUAUGAGCAUUAUGCUUACACUAAGUGUAUUUUAUCAAAAAAGAAACUGGUAAACAUCGAUUUGCUUCAAAAGUAUCAUUACCUUCAAUACGUGGACGUGAGCAAUAACGCCCUGACAACCCUUACGGCCCUCGGGAAUUUACCGUUUUUGAAAAUCCUCGACGCCUCCCACAACCUUCUCCCGACCAUUUUGGACUUUUACCCGCCAUUUUUCCUCACCAACGUCAAUUUGUCUUAUAACAAGAUCCGAACCAUGAGGAACCUCAGGGACUUUUGGUCCAUAACUGACCUAAAUUUGGCGCAUAAUUUUAUAAGAAGAAUCGAUGGUAUAAAGGAACUGCGGUACUUGACCACCUUGAACUUGUCAUUUAAUCGUAUUGGUGCGGUGGAAAACCUCGAAGGUACCCGGCUUCAAUUCCUGUACCUGCAAAAUAACUUCAUAAACACCCCCGAGAUGGAGUGGAAUCAGGCGGAACUUCACACCUUAAAAAAUAUCAGGACCAUCAAUUUAAGUUACAACCAAGUUUCUUCAUUGCAGAUGUUCGAAGCGGUUGAAAACUUGGAAUGUCUGGAACUGGUGCAUAACAACGUUUCGAAGCUCCUGGACAUUUAUUACUUAAGGAAUUUGAACUAUUUGAAUAAGUUGAAUCUUACGAGUAAUCCUGUCACUGAAAUACAGCGGUAUGUGGAAGUUUGCCUUACCCAUUUGAAGAUGUUAAGCGUAUUGGACGGAGAGCAAAUCAAUUCUGACUUUUGGUUGGAGAGAUUUAGCUACGAAAAGACCGAUAUGAGUCAAAUGGCGAAUCAUAAUAGGAUUCGUUUACUCAUUUUGGAACAGUUGAAUCCACCCAAGAUUUUACCCUGGUUACUCCCGUAUGACGCUGCACCCAUAGCAGUAAUCGUAUUAGUUGGACUUCAGGCUUCCAGUCGCACCCAUAUCGCUCGAAAGUAUUGCAAGCAGAAUCCGAAUGUUAUCCUUGGUAUUGCUCAUACGACCAAAGCAAAACACUCCAAUGAGAAACAGGAUGAAGUUUACCAUUACGUGAGCGAAGAAACGUUCAAGUCUAUGCUGAAAAAGGGCGAAUUCUUUACUUACCAAGAGAACCUUGGGUGUUACUAUGGUGUUGCUCACACCGAGUUCAAGAAAGCUGAAAAGGGAAUACUCCUAUUUUGUACAGAUCUCACCCUGGCAAUAGUGCUGAAAAGAAAGUUUAUUAAUACAGUCUUAGUGCUUAGUUUGGCGAGCACCCGAAGUGCCCACUUGCAAAGGCUAAGCAACCUUUACGCUGUCAAAUUCGUUGAUAGUUACACGUCAAAAAUCCUCACGUCGCCCUUGGUCGCCGCCGAAUACCAACUGCAAUUCACCAAAGAAAGGGAGAGAAUCCUGGAACAGGAGGCCCACGAGGUUCUGGAAGAGAUGGUGAAAAAAGUGGCCAAGAUUUACGAUAACAUGAUGGUCCAGAGGAGGCUCGAGACGACCAAGUAUCGUCACACUUCAAACGACGAUUUGUUAAGAUGUUCACAGGACGAAACCAGUUUGAAACUGUGGUGGGCUUCUAGCCCCAAGAAUUCUCAUCGGCUGAGUUUAAUGAUCCAACCGAUUCAAGCAGAAAGAGGCUCUAAAUAUUCGGAGAAGAUUGAUGGACAAUCUAAGGCAAACCUGGAAAGUGCGAUGAAUUGCGUUCAAAUGAAACGUCUGGUGUCAUUCAGGGUGAAAAGCUCGAUCGACUCCUCUGAUUCGCCUCACAAAGUGCCGGUCAGUUGUGCAGUUAUCGAUAAAAGUGUAUUAAAAAAACCGUCGAAAAGUAAAUUAAAGAAGGAUAAGAACAAGAAGAAGGCGACGCUUGCCAAAAUGUCCGAGGAACAGGAGCGGACUUACCUUAUAGCCGAGGCCGCUUUGAGGAAUCAUUACACUUAUGCCGAGUGUCACGUGAUGACAGGAUGACGAACGUUUUUAACGCGGAAUUACGGCAAAGAGAAGAACUUUUAGAGCUUCAUUUACAGUUCCCGGGUUUUUUUAGGGAACUGUUAUUCACCGACCAGGAAGAAGAAUCCUUAGAGAAACUGGACCGUUUAAUAAAAGACAUUAUAAAACACGACACGAUCACUAAAGAAACGAUAAUGGUGCCUAGUGCUAAUGAACGUUUUGGGAUCGCUAUCAAACGGAAAAUUUCCA